AUAACUGGUAAUCCGACAGGUGGAAUGACGGGGUAACGCCCUGAAACGCCUGCCCUCGGUGGGCGUGCAUCGGCCGCAAAGCCGGUGUACGAAGCCCCACGACAACGGCCGAGAGCAACCGUAGCCGCCGCAACGGCGGCCGAAAGCGGUCUGAAGGCAGACUGUGUUGCCUAUAGGCCAAGGGUCUAUAAA
Molecule: non-coding RNA, 192 nt
Filed under: uncultured Gemmiger sp.
Lineage: Bacteria; Bacillati; Bacillota; Clostridia; Eubacteriales; Oscillospiraceae
Source: RNAcentral